UCGCCAAGAGGGGUGUUUUGUACGACAAAGUUUCGUAAUAUUUCGCAUGAAAGGCAGAAAUUUACAGUUGUUGUAUUCACGAGUCUCGGAAUCAAGAAAUGGCGCUUCUGAAAGAAAGUUUAAAUUUUCUACCCAGUCACACUAGAGGUCAACGUUUUCUUGCCUUUACCAGACCUCCCGAUUUUUGGAGAUGUCAAGUUGGAACGUCUGUAUCAUGGCUAUGAUAAACAUCCAAAUAGUGACAUUUCAAAGUUGAAUUAGCUUACUUUGAUUCUAGUAACAGUAUAAAGUUCAUUCAAAGCAUAUCUUUUAUGGUCAGGAAAAACAUUUCGUGACACGAUUCAUCCUGCUAGCUGGGCUGGCCUGGCUCAUAUGAACAACCCCUUUAAGUGUGAGAUUGUCAUUAUUAAGCGAGCAAAACUAUUGUCUGGUGCGAGAUCUGG
Non-coding RNA from Paramuricea clavata, 443 nucleotides. The record is from the annotation of a GenBank genome assembly. Lineage: Eukaryota; Metazoa; Cnidaria; Anthozoa; Malacalcyonacea; Plexauridae.